RNAcentral lists this ribosomal RNA (468 nucleotides) under uncultured bacterium. RNAcentral's name for it is "partial 16S ribosomal RNA". It matches the Rfam family "Bacterial small subunit ribosomal RNA", at positions 28 to 507 of the family's 1533-position model. The record is from RNAcentral.
GACGAACGCUGGCGGCGUGCUUAACACAUGCAAGUCGAACGGAAAGGCCCUGCUUUUGUGGGGUGCUCGAGUGGCGAACGGGUGAGUAACACGUGAGUAACCAGCCCCUGACUUUGGGAUAACUUCAGGAAACUGGGGCUAAUACCGGCUAGGAGCUCCUGCUGCAUGGUGGGGGUUGGAUAGUUUCGGCGGUUGGGGAUGGACUCGCGGCUUAUCAGCUUGUUGGUUGGGUAGUGGCUUACCAAGGCUUUGACAGGUAGCCGGCCUGAGCGGGUGACCGGCCACAUUGGGACUGGAAUACGGCACAGACUCCUACGGGAGGCAGCAGUGGGGAAUAUUGCACAAUGGGCUGAAGCCUGAUGCAGCAACGCCGCGUGCGGGAUGACGGCCUUCGGGUUGUAAUCCGCUUUCGCCUGUGACGAAGUGUGAGUGACGGUAAUGGGUAAAGAAGCACCGGCUAACUACGUG